GAAACGCGAUAAGUAAUGUGAAUUGCAGAAUUCAGUGAGUCAUCGAAUCUUUGAACGCACAUUGCGCCCGCCAGUAUUCUGGCGGGCAUGCCUGUUCGAGCGUCAUUUCAACCAUCAAGCCCCGCGCUUGUGUUGGGGACCUGCGGCUGCCGCAGGCCCUGAAAACCAGUGGCGGGCUCGCUGUCACACCGGGCGUAGUAGAUUUUAUCUCGCUCAGGGCGUGCUGCGGGUUCCGGCCGUUAAAAAGCCUUUUUUACCCAAGGUUGACCUCGGAUCAGGUAGGAAGACCCGCUGAACUUAAGC
Molecule: unclassified non-coding RNA, 303 nt
Filed under: plant metagenome
Description: partial contains 5.8S ribosomal RNA, internal transcribed spacer 2, and large subunit ribosomal RNA
Rfam family: 5.8S ribosomal RNA (bases 1-105)
Source: RNAcentral